Artibeus jamaicensis (Jamaican fruit-eating bat) is the source of this 104-nucleotide small nuclear RNA. The record is from RefSeq and is a predicted model, not a curated record. Lineage: Eukaryota; Metazoa; Chordata; Mammalia; Chiroptera; Phyllostomidae.
GCUCGCUCCGGCUGCACAUGUACUAAAAUUGGAACAAUAUAGAGAUUAGCAUGGCCCCUGCACAAGUACAUGUUGUAUAACUCUCACAGUUUCUUUCCUUUUUU